Molecule: ribosomal RNA, 433 nt
Filed under: uncultured bacterium
Lineage: Bacteria
Description: partial 16S ribosomal RNA
Rfam family: Bacterial small subunit ribosomal RNA
Source: RNAcentral
AACGAACGCUGGCGGCAUGCCUAACACAUGCAAGUCGAACGAGACCUUCGGGUCUAGUGGCGCACGGGUGCGUAACGCGUGGGAACCUGCCCUUAGGUUCGGAAUAACUCCCCGAAAGGGGUGCUAAUACCGGAUAAUGUCUUCGGACCAAAGAUUUAUCGCCUUUGGAUGGGCCCGCGUUGGAUUAGCUAGUUGGUAGGGUAAAAGCCUACCAAGGCGACGAUCCAUAGCUGGUCUGAGAGGAUGAUCAGCCACACUGGGACUGGGACACGGCCCAGACUCCUACGGGAGGCAGCAGUGGGGAAUAUUGGACAAUGGGCGGAAGCCUGAUCCAGCACUGCCGCGUGAGUGAUGAAGGCCUUAGGGUUGUAAAGCUCUUUUACCCGGGAUGAUAAUGACAGUACCGGGAGAAUAAGCUCCGGCUAACUCCGUG